UGCAAGUCGAGCGCGACCUUCGGGUUGAGCGGCGGACGGGUUAGUAACGCGUGGGAAUAUGCCCAAAGGUACGGAAUAGCCUCUGGAAACGGAGAGUAAUACCGUAUGUGCCCUUCGGGGGAAAGAUUUAUCGCCUUUGGAUUAGCCCGCGUUAGAUUAGGUAGUUGGUGGGGUAAUGGCCUACCAAGCCUACGAUCUAUAGCUGGUUUUAGAGGAUGAUCAGCAACACUGGGACUGAGACACGGCCCAGACUCCUACGGGAGGCAGCAGUGGGGAAUCUUGGACAAUGGGCGCAAGCCUGAUCCAGCCAUGCCGCGUGAGUGAUGAAGGCCUUAGGGUCGUAAAGCUCUUUCGCCAGGGAUGAUAAUGACAGUACCUGGUAAAGAAACCCCGGCUAACUCCGUGCCAGCAGCCGCGGUAAUACGGAGGGGGUUAGCGUUGUUCGGAAUUACUGGGCGUAAAGCGCGCGUAGGCGGAUCGGAAAGUUGGGGGUGAAAUCCCGGGGCUCAANCCCGGAACUGGCUCCAAAACUAUCGGUCUA
This 541-nucleotide ribosomal RNA is filed under the name uncultured bacterium. Its description in RNAcentral is "bacterial SSU rRNA". It matches the Rfam family "Bacterial small subunit ribosomal RNA", at positions 56 to 643 of the family's 1533-position model. The record is from RNAcentral.